GGGGAAGGAGGAGAGAGAGACCUAGUGCUGUUUUUUCCCCUGUGACAGGAGGGAUUUUACCAAGAAAUAGAAGAUAGAUGCCACCUUGUUCCAGCUGCCAAAAGGACUUGCAAUGAAGUCCAGAGCAGAAGAGGGAAGACAUUGCAGUGGAAUCCAUCUUUUCACUGGUACAAAUACUGCUACAAUGGCCAUCCUUGCAUGUAUCCUUUGUGCCCAGGUAAGAGUAUCUCUAGGUACAUAACAGAAAUGCAAUUUCUAGGUUAGAAUGUGUUUUGUUACUAAAAUGGCUGAAUUUGCUGAGCUGAUUGACAAUCACACAGCACAGUAUGAUUUAUAAUCCCACAGCUUCACCAAAUCACAAGUGUCUAUUACCAAUUGUGCCAGAAACUAUUACCAAUGUGCCAAAUAUGAAAUUGUUUCCUUAAAAAAAAUUUGCAUUCACCUGAUUAUUUGUAAAGUCAAGUAUCCUUUCAUUUAUUUUUAUGUUUUAUUUAUUUAUUGAAGCAUGAAUGACGGGCUCAUUUCAGGUGUACAACACAGUGAUUCAACAACUCUAUAGGUAUGCUCAGCACAAGGGUAGCUGCCAUCUGUAAGCUUCCUUUACAAUGUUUAUUGAUAAUUUCUUCAUUGACCUUUUCUCUACAUCUCCUCUUCACAUGAAUUUUAAGUUUUGAUAAAGAUAUUUAUCAAUAUUUUCUAUGUAGAACAUUUUGCGUAUCUUUAAGAAAUCGUUUUCUAGUCUGAGCUCAUAAUGAUAUUUUUCUAUAUUUUCUCAAUUUUUGGCCAUAUCUUGUUUCUUGGUUGAGUAUUUUCCCCACAAAUCAAGCCUAUUCAGAUCAAACUUUCAUACAAAGAAAUGCACAACUCAUAAGCUUAUAUUUGAUCAGUUUUGACAAAUACACUCAUGUGAUCCAUACCUCAGUCAAAAUAUAGAACAUGUUCAUGACUAUAAACUUCCCUUGUAUCACCUCCCAGUCACUUCAUAUCCCUUCCCUGAAGCUACCAUUGUUCUGAUUUUUUUUUUCCUACCAUAGAUUAGACUUGCCUGUUCUAGAAGUUCAUAUGAAUGAAAGCAUACAAGAUAUACUCUUUUGGGUCUGGUCUAGCUUUUUCCAUUCAGCACAAUCAUUAUGAGAUUUAUUCAUGUUGUUGUAUUAGAAGUCCCUCCACUGUUACUGUUGAGUAAGUAGUUCCAUUGCAUGGGCGUACCACCAUUUGCCCUGCUGGUGGACAUUUGGGCUGAUUUCAUUUGGGGGCUAUGAUGAAUGCAUUUGAUGUGAACAUUCCCAUAUAAGGCUUUUUGUGGACGUGGUCUCUCUCUUUCCUCAAAUAGUUAUGUAGGAGUGACAUUGCUGGGUAGCCAUUUGAGUUUUAAGUUGACAGGUGAUGGUCACUGGACAGCUGGCAUAGUGAUUGAUAUACUUGGUGAAUAGAAACCAUGAAGCUUUUCUGUUUUUCUUCUCUUUGAUUUUCUCUGCCUGUUCCUUACCAGUCUCACUCCCUUCCAAUCCCAUCAAGGUCAACAGCUUUAAAAGUAAUGUGAUUCUUGGUUAUGAGACAUUUAUUGGAGUCUGAGAACACUACUUCAGCCUGGAAAAUACUACUUUAUAAGGCAAUAGUUCUUAAAAUUUUGCAGAGAGGAAAAUUCUGAGAAGCCCUAGUAUAUAAAAAUACUUUUCAAAAUGAAGCUGCUUUAGCUAUGUGGUGACACCUCUCUGCUUAUGCCCAUUGUCUCCAUCCUUACUGACUAAGCAACUCCCUAAUUUCUAUAGCAUGUUUUGAAAAAUUUCGGUCUAAGGAAACUGAUACUUAGAAAGUGGCCAAUCAUCUUGUCUUGUCUAAAUUGUAUGGAUAUGGGUGUAAGUCUGUGAUAUAUAUUUUUUAAAGAUUUAUUUAUUUGAGAGAGAGAGUGACAUGUGCACAAGUGAGCGAGAGGAGGGGCAGAGAGGAAGAAUCUCAAGCAGAUUCCAAGCUGAGCGUGGAGCCCAACAGGGGGGCUGGAUCUCAUGACCCGAGCUGAAAUCAAGAGUCAGAUGCUUAACUGACUGAGCCACCCAGGUGGCUCAUGGCUGUGAUAUUUUAUGUGUUCUGUUAAUGAAUUCAUAGUACACCUGAGAGACUUUAAAUUAGAAUUCUCUAAAUUAGGAGAUCUUGGAGAGCCACUUGAUUUUAAUGGAAGAAUGCCUCACUAUAGCUGUUAAAAGAAGAGAAUUGGGCACCUAAGUGGGAUCCCUCUGGCUUUUUUAGUGAUAUAAAGGGAUUGAAUUGAUAAUGAGGGGCGUGUGUGUGUGUGUGUGUGUGUGUGUGAGAGAGAGAGAGAGAGAGAGAGAGAGAGAGCUAUCUUAAUACUAUAACAUCACAUUUUAAAAGUAUAAUAAGUUUUCAUCUAAAUGUUGCUGUAAAAUCUAACCAGGUACCUAGUUUCUUGCCUUUUUUUUUUUUUUUUGGUAGCAGUAGACUGGAAAGAGACUAGGGGAGCUUCCUUUGUCUAGUGCAUAAUGUGGCUUAAAGGGAGGUUGUGUCCCAUU
RNAcentral lists this long non-coding RNA (2528 nucleotides) under Canis lupus familiaris (dog). RNAcentral describes it as "lncRNA (ENSCAFG00040002577.1)". The record is from RNAcentral. Lineage: Eukaryota; Metazoa; Chordata; Mammalia; Carnivora; Canidae.